AGUGAACGCUGGCGGUAGGCCUAACACAUGCAAGUCGAACGGCAGCACAGGAGAGCUUGCUCUCUGGGUGGCGAGUGGCGGACGGGGGAGGAAUACAUCGGAAUCUACUUUUUCGUGGGGGACAACGUAGGGAAACUUACGCUAAUACCGCAUACGACCUACGGGUGAAAGCAGGGGAUCUUCGGACCUUGCGCGAUUGAAUGAGCCGAUGUCGGAUUAGCUAGUUGGCGGGGUAAAGGCCCACCGAGGCGACGAUGCGUAGCUGGUCUGAGAGGAUGAUCAGCACACUGGAACUGAGACACGGUCCAGACUCCUACGGGAGGCAGCAGUGGGGAAUAUUGGACAAUGGGCGCAAGCCUGAUCCAGCCAUACCGCGUGGGUGAAGAAGGCCUUCGGGUUGUAAAGCCCUUUUGUUGGAAAAGAAAUCCAGCUGGUUAAUACCCGGUUGGGAUGACGGUACCCAAGGAAUAAGCACCGGCUAACUUCGUGCCAGCCGCCGCGGUAA
This 505-nucleotide ribosomal RNA is filed under the name uncultured bacterium. RNAcentral describes it as "partial 16S ribosomal RNA". It matches the Rfam family "Bacterial small subunit ribosomal RNA", at positions 29 to 523 of the family's 1533-position model. The record is from RNAcentral.